GCCAAUUCCAGUCCAAAGCUUUGUUUGCCAAG
This 32-nucleotide non-coding RNA is filed under the name Homo sapiens (human). The record is from RNAcentral. Lineage: Eukaryota; Metazoa; Chordata; Mammalia; Primates; Hominidae.